RNAcentral lists this ribosomal RNA (468 nucleotides) under uncultured bacterium. RNAcentral describes it as "partial 16S ribosomal RNA". It matches the Rfam family "Bacterial small subunit ribosomal RNA", at positions 28 to 507 of the family's 1533-position model. The record is from RNAcentral.
GACGAACGCUGGCGGCGUGCUUAACACAUGCAAGUCGAACGGAAAGGCCCUGCUUUUGUGGGGUGCUCGAGUGGCGAACGGGUGAGUAACACGUGAGUAACCUGCCCUUGACUUUGGGAUAACUUCAGGAAACUGGGGCUAAUACCGGAUAGGAGCUCCUGCUGCAUGGUGGGGGUUGGAAAGUUUCGGCGGUUGGGGAUGGACUCGCGGCUUAUCAGCUUGUUGGUGGGGUAGUGGCUUACCAAGGCUUUGACGGGUAGCCGGCCUGAGAGGGUGACCGGCCACAUGGGGACUGAGAUACGGCCCAGACUCCUACGGGCGGCAGCAGUGGGGAAUAUUGCACAAUAGGCGGAAGCCUGAUGCAGAAACGCCGCGUGCGGGAUGACGGCCUUCGGGUUGUAAACCGCUUUCGCCUGUGACGAAGCGUGAGUGACGGUAAUGGGUAAAGAAGCACCGGCUAACUACGUG